CCAAUUCAGACUCAAGGUCUAUAAUAUGAGAUGAACCAACUCCAAAGAUCAGGAUCUCCAAAACUUUUCUUAUUUUUGGGUGUGUCAAAGUUCCCAAGAUCCUCAAGUGGACUUCGCCCAAUGCUUACACCCAAAUACAUUGCAUAAUUGAUUAUAGUGUGGUGUGGAAGAGCCAACCCUCAAAUGUCCAAGUUUAUAGGAAAUUCAAGGUCCCAAAGCAAGGCUCAUAGGAGGGGGGACAAAACUUAAAAUCUAAGAGAGUGUGCAAGUGCAUAGAGGGGAUUUAAGGAAGGCAAUGGUGGGCUGGUGGUCAUACCAAACAAUUAGGAGUGCUGGCACACCCCUAACCACCCUGUUAGCCACAUUUGUUUGGGAGCUAAGAUCUACUAAGGAUCAGGUUUAGACAUGAGCAGUAAUUUGGAUACUGCCAUGCCAGAACGUUAACUCAAACACAUAGAAGGGAAUAAGGGGUAGGGAUUCACAAUAGAAAUAGAUGCAAGAAAAUGCAUAGUUAAUAUUAAUCACUGAGCAUGGACAAUAACGUAAACAAGAUUACAGAAGCUAUAAAUAAACAUAUUGGGAUUAUGGCUGAAAUUAAAUUAAAACAUACCAGUUUUAGGGAAACAAACAAGUAAAAGCAGAAGUCUUGUAAAGCCAAAAUUGCAAGCAAACAGCUAGAAGAAACUUAGAUGAGAAUGUGAGAGUAAUUGAGAGUGUCUUAAAGAGUACUAGACUAGAAGGUUGUAAAAGUAUUAAAUUCGAAGUCUGUCAAAGUGCAGGAGGGUCGUGCCCUUUAUAGUGUAGAAAGCAAAUAAGAAAAGGUAAGAAAAUAGCAUUAAAAUCAAUCUUCCUUUAAUUAAAGGAUUCUAAUUUCAAAUGGGUAAAAGGAAAUUAAGAAAAAAGUUGAUCAAAACCUUUUCCAAAGUAGUACAAUAAGGGCAAAUACACAAGCAUUUAUGUAAGGCAAAAGUUCAGUGGUACACAGUUUGUGACAAAUAAGAAAAGGGAAUCAAUCAAACAUCCAGUUAAAAUCAAAAUUGCAGGUUUUGUCUGAAUAAACCAAGUCAGGAAAAGUUAAGAAGGUUCAAUCAAAGAAAGAAACAGUAACAAUUACUCAAACCUUAUUAAAAGGGAUUCAAAAUCAAUCAAUAGUUGGCAAAACCUUUUUUAAAAGAAUAAUUUCUCAUAUAUAAAGCACACAAAUAUCAAACAAGAAGGAGUUGUCAUCUUGAUUAGAAAAGACUAUCAUAGAAAAGUCACAAAAAUGUACAGAUCCAAUUUAUAGACUCAGAAUGAGUCUGAGAUUUCAGAGUUUUAAAGUAGAACCCCAGUCCAAACACAAAAUAAACUUGCCAAAGAAACCCUCAAAUCCAAAGGUUUUAACUCAAAUCAGACACAAAUGAGAAGGCAAGCCAUCGAAAUAGACUUAGAGGUCUGUUUCGGAGCCUCAUAAGGAAACACACUGAUAUAAUUGCAGGUUUGAAGCGACCGAGUGAAAGGUUGAUUUAAAAGCAUAAAGAAAAUGUUUUAGGAAAAAAUCGGAACUUAAGAAAGUUUAGAAGAGAAAAUAAGGGUGAUAUAAACUUUAAAAAUAGUAAAGGAAUCAUGCUUAGAACUCAAACAAAAGUCCAGUAAAGCAAACAAAAUUUAAGAACUCAUUAGGAAACACGUACAGUAGAAGAAUACUGGAAAGUAUAGCAAAGAACAUGUAGGAAAACAUAACAAAGAUUAAUAUGAAAGCCUAACCUAGAGGCACAGUAGAGUAUAAAGGUACAGAAGAGUCGCGUAUAGUAGGAAGAAAAUAAAAGAACAACACAUGUGUGGUAGAAAAGAAAACACAUUAACAGAAUAUAGAUGAACACACAUAAAGAAAAGAAAAGGAAGAAUCAGAAAGAUGUUUUGAAAAUCUUUCAGAAACCCUAAAUCGAAGAGAAGCAAUUUGUGAAAGAAAGAUUGGGGAAAUACUUUAAACAUCCAGUAGAACACAAAUAUAUCAUAGAUCUAAGAAAACAAACAAAGAAAAAACUCGAAUAGCCUAGGAUUUUGUAGAAACCUUGGAAAUGAGAAAGACUUUGAAGGUCACCGAUCUGGGUCGGAGAAGGUCGGAAACAGGAUCGACGAUCAUGGUACACCGGAACAGAGCCGGAAAGGACCUUGAGACCGCGAAUACAUGGUGGUCUGGAUUUAGUCCUUCGUAGUCAGGCCUCGAAUCUUCAGGUAUUAGGCACGUAAAAGCACCUGUAGGUAGGUGUAAGACUCCUAUUACUUUGAUGGCCAUAAAUUUCUGCAGAUUUUAGGGCAGAGGUGGCUAGGGUUAGCGAAGGUUCGAGAGUGUUUGAGAGAAGGGGAGGGUUUCAGAGGUUUCUG
This 2367-nucleotide long non-coding RNA is filed under the name Nicotiana benthamiana. RNAcentral's name for it is "long non-coding RNA (NBEN_LNC005560)". Lineage: Eukaryota; Viridiplantae; Streptophyta; Magnoliopsida; Solanales; Solanaceae. The record is from RNAcentral.